GACGGAGGGUGCAAGCGUUGUUCGGAUUGACUGGGCGUAAAGGGCGUGUAGGCGGUUCGUUAAGUCGGGUGUGAAAGCCCGGGGCUCAGCUCCGGAAGUGCGCCCGAAACUGGCGAGCUGGAGCGCGGUAGAGGAGGGUGGAAUUCCUGGUGUAGCGGUGAAAUGCGUAGAUAUCAGGAGGAACACCGGCGGCGAAGGCGGCCCUCUGGACCGUUGCUGACGCUGAGACGCGAAAGCGUGGGGAGCAAACAGG
Molecule: ribosomal RNA, 253 nt
Filed under: uncultured bacterium
Lineage: Bacteria
Also listed under: 1 other name
Description: partial 16S ribosomal RNA
Rfam family: Bacterial small subunit ribosomal RNA
Source: RNAcentral